CUCCUGGUGGUCUAGUGGUUAGGAUGCAGCGCUCUCAUGGCUGCAGCCCAGGUUUGAUUCCCGGUCAGGGAA
Molecule: transfer RNA, 72 nt
Filed under: Manacus vitellinus (golden-collared manakin)
Lineage: Eukaryota; Metazoa; Chordata; Aves; Passeriformes; Pipridae
Rfam family: tRNA
About the family: Transfer RNA (tRNA) molecules are approximately 80 nucleotides in length. Their secondary structure includes four short double-helical elements and three loops (D, anti-codon, and T loops). Further hydrogen bonds mediate the characteristic L-shaped molecular structure. tRNAs have two regions of fundamental functional importance: the anti-codon, which is responsible for specific mRNA codon recognition, and the 3' end, to which the tRNAs corresponding amino acid is attached (by aminoacyl-tRNA synthetases). tRNAs cope with the degeneracy of the genetic code in two manners: having more than one tRNA (with a specific anti-codon) for a particular amino acid; and 'wobble' base-pairing, i.e. permitting non-standard base-pairing at the 3rd anti-codon position.
Source: Rfam by way of RNAcentral